Molecule: ribosomal RNA, 1539 nt
Filed under: Klebsiella pneumoniae subsp. pneumoniae
Lineage: Bacteria; Pseudomonadati; Pseudomonadota; Gammaproteobacteria; Enterobacterales; Enterobacteriaceae
Also listed under: 8 other names
Description: bacterial SSU rRNA
Rfam family: Bacterial small subunit ribosomal RNA
Source: RNAcentral
AAUUGAAGAGUUUGAUCAUGGCUCAGAUUGAACGCUGGCGGCAGGCCUAACACAUGCAAGUCGAGCGGUAGCACAGAGAGCUUGCUCUCGGGUGACGAGCGGCGGACGGGUGAGUAAUGUCUGGGAAACUGCCUGAUGGAGGGGGAUAACUACUGGAAACGGUAGCUAAUACCGCAUAACGUCGCAAGACCAAAGUGGGGGACCUUCGGGCCUCAUGCCAUCAGAUGUGCCCAGAUGGGAUUAGCUAGUAGGUGGGGUAACGGCUCACCUAGGCGACGAUCCCUAGCUGGUCUGAGAGGAUGACCAGCCACACUGGAACUGAGACACGGUCCAGACUCCUACGGGAGGCAGCAGUGGGGAAUAUUGCACAAUGGGCGCAAGCCUGAUGCAGCCAUGCCGCGUGUGUGAAGAAGGCCUUCGGGUUGUAAAGCACUUUCAGCGGGGAGGAAGGCGUUAAGGUUAAUAACCUUGGCGAUUGACGUUACCCGCAGAAGAAGCACCGGCUAACUCCGUGCCAGCAGCCGCGGUAAUACGGAGGGUGCAAGCGUUAAUCGGAAUUACUGGGCGUAAAGCGCACGCAGGCGGUCUGUCAAGUCGGAUGUGAAAUCCCCGGGCUCAACCUGGGAACUGCAUUCGAAACUGGCAGGCUAGAGUCUUGUAGAGGGGGGUAGAAUUCCAGGUGUAGCGGUGAAAUGCGUAGAGAUCUGGAGGAAUACCGGUGGCGAAGGCGGCCCCCUGGACAAAGACUGACGCUCAGGUGCGAAAGCGUGGGGAGCAAACAGGAUUAGAUACCCUGGUAGUCCACGCCGUAAACGAUGUCGAUUUGGAGGUUGUGCCCUUGAGGCGUGGCUUCCGGAGCUAACGCGUUAAAUCGACCGCCUGGGGAGUACGGCCGCAAGGUUAAAACUCAAAUGAAUUGACGGGGGCCCGCACAAGCGGUGGAGCAUGUGGUUUAAUUCGAUGCAACGCGAAGAACCUUACCUGGUCUUGACAUCCACAGAACUUUCCAGAGAUGGAUUGGUGCCUUCGGGAACUGUGAGACAGGUGCUGCAUGGCUGUCGUCAGCUCGUGUUGUGAAAUGUUGGGUUAAGUCCCGCAACGAGCGCAACCCUUAUCCUUUGUUGCCAGCGGUCCGGCCGGGAACUCAAAGGAGACUGCCAGUGAUAAACUGGAGGAAGGUGGGGAUGACGUCAAGUCAUCAUGGCCCUUACGACCAGGGCUACACACGUGCUACAAUGGCAUAUACAAAGAGAAGCGACCUCGCGAGAGCAAGCGGACCUCAUAAAGUAUGUCGUAGUCCGGAUUGGAGUCUGCAACUCGACUCCAUGAAGUCGGAAUCGCUAGUAAUCGUAGAUCAGAAUGCUACGGUGAAUACGUUCCCGGGCCUUGUACACACCGCCCGUCACACCAUGGGAGUGGGUUGCAAAAGAAGUAGGUAGCUUAACCUUCGGGAGGGCGCUUACCACUUUGUGAUUCAUGACUGGGGUGAAGUCGUAACAAGGUAACCGUAGGGGAACCUGCGGUUGGAUCACCUCCUUA